UAUGACGCGAAAGCAACCACGACUAUAAGGAUCGGGAGACGGAAGGGGCUGAAGAACGCAGUACCUGACCCUGUAUUUUGAGAGUUGAACGGAAAAUGGAAACUGAACGUGGAAAUCAAGAAAAGGCAAUGGAAGAAGAAAACACUGAGAAGAAAAAAGAAGAGAAAAAGAAACGGUCUCGAGUUAAACAGGUGCUUGCUGAUAUUGCUAAACAAGUGGACUUCUGGUUUGGAGAUGCAAAUCUUCACAAGGAUAGAUUUCUUCGAGAGCAGAUAGAAAAAUCUAGAGAUGGAUAUGUGGAUAUAUCACUUCUCGUGUCUUUUAACAAAAUGAAAAAACUGACUACUGACGGGAAGUUAAUAGCCAGAGCACUGAAGAGCUCAGCUGUUGUAGAGCUGGAUUUGGAAGGCACCCGAAUCAGGAGAAAAAAGCCUCUGGGUGAAAGACCAAAGGAUGAAGAUGAGCGCACUGUGUAUGUGGAGUUACUUCCCAAAAAUGUUAACCACAGCUGGAUUGAAAGAGUAUUUGGGAAAUGUGGCAAUGUUGUUUAUAUAAGUAUACCA
Molecule: RNA transcript, 563 nt
Organism: Carlito syrichta (Philippine tarsier)
Lineage: Eukaryota; Metazoa; Chordata; Mammalia; Primates; Tarsiidae
Gene name: la-related protein 7 pseudogene
Exons: 1
Source: RefSeq, a predicted model, not a curated record